GGCUCGGUAGCUUAGUUGGUAAAGCGCUCGUUUAGCAUACAAGAGUCCUGGGUUCGAAUCCCAGCCGAGCAC
Non-coding RNA from Aedes aegypti (yellow fever mosquito), 72 nucleotides. Lineage: Eukaryota; Metazoa; Arthropoda; Insecta; Diptera; Culicidae. The record is from Rfam.